UACCUUGUUUACAACUUUUCUGUCAAAAUAGAUGCCGACCAGCUGUUGCUUGGCACGAGCAACAUAAAUAAGUUUACAGAAGACGAAAUUACUGCUACAAUUAUUCUUCAUGCUAACUAGUUUGGUAUUGCUGUCCUAGCUUCAGUGGACGAGAGUUCAUGCCGUCCAGCAGCAACAGUGUCCAAACUGGGUUAUUGUGCUGUCCCAGAUGCUGCCCCUCGUAUGAGAAGUGGCCAGAUCCCAUGUCGCUUCGCGCAUAACAGCUCGUCCUUUAUUCGGAUUGGAACGGACACGGAACAAUUCAGUGAAAGAGUAUCGAUGUGAUGACACCCUUUUGACGAUGUUGGUCAGGGAACCUGUGAUGAUGUGGUGCAAAAAAUGCUACCGGCAUCACUUUCGUUCCGCUAUUGCACUUGACCCGAACUAGGACCGCGACGGCACUGACGAACUUGCGGCAGCGGUGAUGAUGCGUAUCCCUCCUUCGAAAUUGCGGUGCUGAGAUGAUGAUAAGGUAGAAGCUUGUGUGGAAUAAGGCUGCAGCCAAAACGGAAUGAAUAUUUGUUUUCUUUGAACUGGAACGGCAACAGUGGCAGCAUGACGAUCGUCUCGAACAUGACGACUGCAACGAACCGACAUGGAACCGCGGACAAUAACUUAAAUAACAACUAUGCAUAAGCACAAAUAUACUUAUAGUUUAUUUCCUAA
Anopheles merus is the source of this 705-nucleotide long non-coding RNA. RefSeq lists it as uncharacterized. The transcript is spliced from 3 exons. The record is from RefSeq and is a predicted model, not a curated record. Lineage: Eukaryota; Metazoa; Arthropoda; Insecta; Diptera; Culicidae.